RNAcentral lists this small nuclear RNA (202 nucleotides) under Erinaceus europaeus (western European hedgehog). RNAcentral describes it as "U2 spliceosomal RNA". The record is from Rfam by way of RNAcentral. Lineage: Eukaryota; Metazoa; Chordata; Mammalia; Eulipotyphla; Erinaceidae.
AUCACUUUUUGGCCUUUUGGGUAAGGUCAAGUGUAGUAUCUGUUCUUAUCAAUUUAAACCCCACAGGAAAGACUAUGUUUUCUCCCCUCAUCUGCAGGGGGAAAAAUCCAGGGCUUCAAAUGUUUAGGCCAUUUAGUUAUAUCACUGAAUCAGUCACUAAGGGAUUAUGUUGGUUAUGUUAAGCCUAAAUUCUAGAACCUAU